Molecule: ribosomal RNA, 225 nt
Filed under: Triticum aestivum (bread wheat)
Lineage: Eukaryota; Viridiplantae; Streptophyta; Magnoliopsida; Poales; Poaceae
Description: partial small subunit ribosomal RNA
Source: RNAcentral
AUGGCCGGCCCAUUGUCAUUUACUAAAGAAAAUAUCACAUCACUUGAUGAAGAUGAUUCUGAUUUGGAGAGGAGCCAGCAAACUGCAAAGGCAGUGAUUAAGUUCGCUGCAACAGCUGAUCUGCACCGUCUUGAGCAAAUUUUAGCCGGAGGAGGCACUCACCGUUUGGUUGAUCCUUUGUCUUGCCUAACCUGGAGAGGAUACGAUCCUUUGGUGAAGGAUUAG